This 374-nucleotide ribosomal RNA is filed under the name Halisarca restingaensis. RNAcentral describes it as "eukaryotic LSU rRNA". The stretch from base 1 to 156 matches the Rfam family "5.8S ribosomal RNA". The record is from RNAcentral. Lineage: Eukaryota; Metazoa; Porifera; Demospongiae; Chondrillida; Halisarcidae.
AACUUCCAACGGUGGAUCUCUCGGCUCGUGCAUCGAUGAAGAACGCAGCAAACUGCGAUAUCUAGUGCGAAUUGCAGAAUUCAGUGAAUCAUCGAGUCUUCGAACGCAAAUGGCGCCCCUGGGGUCGUUCCCGAGGGCACGUCUGUCUGAGCGCUCUUUUCUCUCCAAGUGGUCCCGCUUGCCCUAUGGCGUGCGGCGACAGUUUGGGCGGUCGUGCGGUUCAUCGUGUUCCGCGUGCCGGCCCAGAGAUCGAUACGAAGUCCCUGCGAAAGCAGCAGACGCCUCGUUCCGGUAAGAUCGGUCGAGUGCUGUGCUGUUUUUCGUUGGGGGAAAGGUUCUGGUUGGCCACUCUGUGGAGCCUCAGAUCAGUCGAG